GUAGGCAGCGAGCGUUGUUCGGAGUUACUGGGCGUAAAGCGUGCGUAGGCGGUUUUGUAAGUUUGGUGUGAAAUCUCCCGGCUCAACUGGGAGGGUGCGCCGAAAACUGCAAGGCUGGAGUGUGGGAGAGGUAGGCGGAAUUCCUGGUGUAGCGGUGAAAUGCGUAGAUAUCAGGAGGAACACCUGUGGUGUAGACGGCUUACUGGACCAUGACUGACGCUGAGGCACGAAAGCGUGGGGAGCAAACAGGAUUAGAUACCCUGGUAGUCCACGCCCUAAACGAUGCAUACUUGGUGUGGGCAGUUCAUUCUGUCUGUGCCGGAGCUAACGCGUUAAGUAUGCCGCCUGGGGAGUACGGUCGCAAGGCUGAA
RNAcentral lists this ribosomal RNA (371 nucleotides) under uncultured bacterium. RNAcentral describes it as "bacterial SSU rRNA". It matches the Rfam family "Bacterial small subunit ribosomal RNA", at positions 527 to 898 of the family's 1533-position model. The record is from RNAcentral.